UCCCUGGUGGUCCAGUGGUUAGGAUUCAGCAUUUUCAUUGCUGAGGCCAGGGUUCAAUCCCUGGUCUGGGAA
Cervus elaphus (red deer) is the source of this 72-nucleotide non-coding RNA. The record is from the annotation of a RefSeq genome assembly. Lineage: Eukaryota; Metazoa; Chordata; Mammalia; Artiodactyla; Cervidae.